UUGGCAGGGUAAAGGCCUACCAAGACUAUGAUGUGUAGCUGGACUGAGAGGUUGAACAGCCACAUUGGGACUGAGACACGGCCCAAACUCCUACGGGAGGCAGCAGUAGGGAAUUUUCGGCAAUGGAGGAAACUCUGACCGAGCAACGCCGCGUGAACGAUGAAGUAUUUCGGUAUGUAAAGUUCUUUUAUUGAAGAAGAAAAAAUAGUGGAAAAACUAUCUUGACGAUAUUCAAUGAAUAAGCCCCGGCAAACUAUGUGCCAGCAGCCGCGGUAAUACAUAGGGGGCGAGCGUUAUCCGGAAUUAUUGGGCGUAAAGGGUGCGUAGGCGGUUUAAUAAGUCUAUAGUUUAAUUUCAGUGCUUAACACUGUCCUGCUAUAGAAACUAUUAGACUAGAGUGAGAUAGAGGCAAGUGGAAUUCCAUGUGUAGCGGUAAAAUGCGUAAAUAUAUGGAGGAACACCAGAGGCGUAGGCGGCUUGCUGGGUCUUUACUGACGCUGAGGCACGAAAGCGUGGGGAGCAAACAGGAUUAGAUACCCUGGUAGUCCACGCCGUAAACGAUGAGUACUAAGUGUCGGGAUUACUCGGUACUGAAGUUAACACAUUAAGUACUCCGCCUGAGUAGUACGUACGCAAGUAUGAAACUUAAAGGAAUUGACGGGACUCCGCACAAGCGGUGGAUCAUGUUGUUUAAUUCGAAGAUACACGAAAAACCUUACCAGGUCUUGACAUACUCUGCAAAGCUAUAGCAAUAUAGUGGAGGUUAUCAGGGAUACAGGUGGUGCAUGGUUGUCGUCAGCUCGUGUCGUGAGAUGUUAGGUUAAGUCCUAAAACGAGCGCAACCCUUGUCAUUAGUUGCCAGCAUGUCAUGAUGGGCACUUUAAUGAGACUGCCAAUGAAAAAUUGGAGGAAGGUGAGGAUCACGUCAAAUCAUCAUGCCCCUUAUGAUCUGGGCUACAAACGUGAUACAAUGGCUGUUACAAAGAGUAGCUGAAACGCAAGUUUAUAGCCAAUCUCAUAAAAGCAGUCUCAGUUCGGAUUGAAGUCUGCAACUCGACUUCAUGAAGUUGGAA
This 1073-nucleotide ribosomal RNA is filed under the name Candidatus Phytoplasma sacchari. RNAcentral's name for it is "bacterial SSU rRNA". It matches the Rfam family "Bacterial small subunit ribosomal RNA", at positions 249 to 1331 of the family's 1533-position model. The record is from RNAcentral. Lineage: Bacteria; Bacillati; Mycoplasmatota; Mollicutes; Acholeplasmatales; Acholeplasmataceae.